GAUGAACGCUGGCGGCGUGCCUAAUACAUGCAAGUCGAGCGAACAGACGAGGAGCUUGCUCCUCUGACGUUAGCGGCGGACGGGUGAGUAACACGUGGAUAACCUACCUAUAAGACUGGGAUAACUUCGGGAAACCGGAGCUAAUACCGGAUAAUAUAUUGAACCGCAUGGUUCAAUAGUGAAAGACGGUUUUGCUGUCACUUAUAGAUGUAUCCGCGCCGCAUUAGCUAGUUGGUAAGGUAACGGCUUACCAAGGCAACGAUGCGUAGCCGACCUGAGAGGGUGAUCGGCCACACUGGAACUGAGACACGGUCCAGACUCCUACGGGAGGAAGCAGUAGGGAAUCUUCCGCAAUGGGCGAAAGCCUGACGGAGCAACGCCGCGUGAGUGAUGAAGGUCUUCGGAUCGUAAAACUCUGUUAUUAGGGAAGAACAAAUGUGUAAGUAACUAUGCACGUCUUGACGGUACCUAAUCAGAAAGCCACGGCUAACUACGUG
This 497-nucleotide ribosomal RNA is filed under the name uncultured bacterium. Its description in RNAcentral is "partial 16S ribosomal RNA". It matches the Rfam family "Bacterial small subunit ribosomal RNA", at positions 28 to 507 of the family's 1533-position model. The record is from RNAcentral.